This 73-nucleotide transfer RNA is filed under the name Danionella translucida. It matches the Rfam family "tRNA". From Rfam's summary of the family: Transfer RNA (tRNA) molecules are approximately 80 nucleotides in length. Their secondary structure includes four short double-helical elements and three loops (D, anti-codon, and T loops). Further hydrogen bonds mediate the characteristic L-shaped molecular structure. tRNAs have two regions of fundamental functional importance: the anti-codon, which is responsible for specific mRNA codon recognition, and the 3' end, to which the tRNAs corresponding amino acid is attached (by aminoacyl-tRNA synthetases). tRNAs cope with the degeneracy of the genetic code in two manners: having more than one tRNA (with a specific anti-codon) for a particular amino acid; and 'wobble' base-pairing, i.e. permitting non-standard base-pairing at the 3rd anti-codon position. The record is from Rfam by way of RNAcentral. RNAcentral also lists the same sequence under 1 other name. Lineage: Eukaryota; Metazoa; Chordata; Actinopteri; Cypriniformes; Danionidae.
GGGGAAUUAGCUCAAAUGGUAGAGCGCUCCCUUAGCAUGCAAGAGGUAGCGGGAUCGAUACCCACAUUCUCCA